UAGGGAAUCUUGCGCAAUGGGCGAAAGCCUGACGCAGCCAUGCCGCGUGAAUGAUGAAGGUCUUAGGAUUGUAAAAUUCUUUCAGCGGGGACGAUAAUGACGGUACCCGCAGAAGAAGCCCCGGCUAACUUCGUGCCAGCAGCCGCGGUAAUACGAAGGGGGCUAGCGUUGCUCGGAAUUACUGGGCGUAAAGGGCGCGUAGGCGGAUGUUUAAGUCAGAGGUGAAAGCCCAGGGCUCAACCUUGGAACUGCCUUUGAUACUGGACAUCUUGAGUAUGGGAGAGGUGAGUGGAACUCCGAGUGUAGAGGUGAAAUUCGUAGAUAUUCGGAAGAACACCAGUGGCGAAGGCGACUCACUGGCCCAUUACUGACGCUGAGGCGCGAAAGCGUGGGGAGCAAAC
This 401-nucleotide ribosomal RNA is filed under the name uncultured bacterium. Its description in RNAcentral is "bacterial SSU rRNA". It matches the Rfam family "Bacterial small subunit ribosomal RNA", at positions 355 to 773 of the family's 1533-position model. The record is from RNAcentral.